AACUGCUGCACAAGGAGUGUUCGAUUGGACUCCUUUUCACACAAUGAACAACCAGCUUAGAACUGAUGCGGGCAAGGGGAAUCCGACUGUUUAAUUGAAACAAAGUAUUGCGAUGCCCUGAAAGGAUGUUGACACAAUGUGAUUUCUGCCCAGUGCUCUGAAUGUCAAAGUGAGGAGAUUCAACUAAGCGCGGGUAAACGGCGGGAGUAACUAUGACUCUCUUAAGGUAGCCAAAUGCCUCGUCAUCCAAUUAGUGACGCGCAUGAAUGGAUUAAUGAGAUUCCUACWGUCCCAAUCURCUGUCCAGCGAAACCACAGCCAAGGGAACGGGCUUGGGUGAGUCAGCGGGGAAAGAAGACCCUGUUGAGCUUGACUCUAAUCCGACUUUGUGAAAUGACUUAGGAGGAGUAGGAUAUGUGGGAGCUCWGGUGAUCUUGAAAUACCACUACUUUUAAUGUCACUUUACUUACUCUAUCCAACUGUGCCCUGCCUCACAGCAGGUUUUUGCUUUYAAGGUUGCUCUUUUGGCGUGUUGAUUUGCGUAGAAGACGUCGUCCGGUGGGGAGUUUGGCUGGGGCGGCACAUCUGUUAAAGGAUAACGCAGGUGUCCUAAGGUGAGCUCAAUGAGAACAGAAAUCUCAUGCGGAUCAAAAGGGGAAACGCUUGCUUGAUUUUGCUUUUCAGUGUGAAGAUAAACUGUGCAAACAUGGCCUAUUGAUCCUUUAG
This 726-nucleotide ribosomal RNA is filed under the name Gambierdiscus excentricus. Its description in RNAcentral is "LSU rRNA". It matches the Rfam family "Eukaryotic large subunit ribosomal RNA", at positions 2053 to 2779 of the family's 3401-position model. Lineage: Eukaryota; Dinophyceae; Gonyaulacales; Pyrocystaceae. The record is from RNAcentral.